Non-coding RNA from Rattus norvegicus (Norway rat), 1027 nucleotides. The record is from RefSeq and is a predicted model, not a curated record. NCBI's taxonomy places the organism in Eukaryota, Metazoa, Chordata, Mammalia, Rodentia, Muridae.
UGCUCGUGGCCACCGUUGGCCCCGGUCGCGCAGAGCUCUGCGAGGACGCGCUAGGACCCGCUGUGUCCUCGCGCACGCGCUCCCAUGCUUGCCCCCUUAGGGUGUAGUCUUUCGAGGUCAUCCCUGGACUUAAGGAAACCCACCUUCACCUCCGCCCGGCUCAUCCUGUUUCUAAUGGUACUUCUCUAUCCAAUCAAGAUUAAUGAAGACAAGACUCAACAAUGUAAAAGACUACUGAGGCAUGCAAGCACAUGGAAACAUCUAAAAGGGCAUAUAAGCCAGAAGCCCUGAGAUCCUGGUACCCAGAGGACAGUCUGCAGGAUGGAACUGGUGGCCUGAUGCUUUGUAACAUCCUGAUGGGUACGUGAGGCUGCUCAUGAGAUACCUAAAUGCACCUAAUAUCUACAUAGGACCACAACCAACACCACCACCACUGAUGCUACCACCACAAACACCACCAAUGAGAGAAAAAGAGGCACGGAUCUGAAGAAGAGCAAGGUAGUGAUAGGAGAGGGUUUGAGAGAAUGUAGGAAAAGGGGAAAGCAAUGUAAUCAAGAUAUCACACAAUUUAUUUUUUAAAAGGAAGAGAGAUCAAAACCUUUAACCUCACAGAAGAAUCUUUCGUCCAUGAAGCCCACAACUUACUAGAAAAUGGUGAAUUCUCAGCCUGCGUAAAAGUGAAUCAUGACAUUUCAUCAGUACCCCAGGCCUUAUUUCCCUAACUCCUGCCCACCUCUCUCAUGGGCCUGGGUCAGGACUUCACUAACCACCUUGUUCCCACUGCCCCAUCGCUAUGAGGAGGCAUGUCGAUACUGGAAUGACAGUUUCACCUCAAGACUUCCCCACCCUUUAAUAUCUCCCGAAGACUGACAGUUUACUGAGCAGCCCCGUUUAUGACCUAUGCCCUGUUUUGAGGGUUAACUCAGGCAAAUGAAUCCUCUUGACUUCUGCCAUUGAAAGAAAACCCUUAUCAGUGGAAGUGGAAGCCUUGGUCUUGCCAAGGUUGGACCCCCAGCGCAGGGGAAUG